Molecule: ribosomal RNA, 511 nt
Filed under: uncultured bacterium
Lineage: Bacteria
Description: bacterial SSU rRNA
Rfam family: Bacterial small subunit ribosomal RNA
Source: RNAcentral
AUUGAACGCUGGCGGCAGGCCUAACACAUGCAAGUCGAGCGGCAGCGGGAAAGUAGCUUGCUACUUUUGCCGGCGAGCGGCGGACGGGUGAGUAAUGCCUGGGGAUCUGCCCAGUCGAGGGGGAUAACUACUGGAAACGGUAGCUAAUACCGCAUACGCCCUACGGGGGAAAGCAGGGGACCUUCGGGCCUUGCGCGAUUGGAUGAACCCAGGUGGGAUUAGCUAGUUGGUGAGGUAAUGGCUCACCAAGGCGACGAUCCCUAGCUGGUCUGGGAGGAUGACCAGUCACACUGGAACUGAGACACGGUCCAGACUCCUACGGGAGGCAGCAGUGGGGAAUAUUGCACAAUGGGCGCAAGCCUGAUGCAGCCAUGCCGCGUGUGUGAAGAAGGCCUUCGGGUUGUAAAGCACUUUCAGCGGGGAGGAAGGGUCACUAGUUAAUACCUAGUGGCAUUGACGUUACUCGCAGAAGAAGCACCGGCUAACUCCGUGCCAGCAGCCGCCGUAAUAC